This 395-nucleotide ribosomal RNA is filed under the name uncultured bacterium. RNAcentral describes it as "bacterial SSU rRNA". It matches the Rfam family "Bacterial small subunit ribosomal RNA", at positions 107 to 518 of the family's 1533-position model. The record is from RNAcentral.
UGAGUAACGCGUGAGCAACUACCUAUCAUGGGGGAUAACGCUGGAAACAGACGCUAAUACCGCAUAUCGUACAUAAUUCGCAUGAAUAAGUGUAUGAAAGGAGUAAUUUGCUGGUAGAUGGGCUCGCGUCCGAUUAGCCGGUUGGUGGGUAACGGCCUACCAAAGCAACGAUCAGUAGCCGGACUGAGAGGUUGAACGGCCACAUUGGGACUGAGACACGGCCCAGACUCCUACGGGAGGCAGCAGUGGGGGAUAUUGCGCAAUGGAGGAAACUCUGACGCAAGGCAACGCCGCGUGAAGGAUGAAGGUUUUCGGAUUGUAGACUUCUGUUCUUGGUGAAGAAAAAUGACGGUAGCCAAGCAGCAAGCUCCGGCCAACUACGUGCCAGCCGCCGC